RNAcentral lists this ribosomal RNA (231 nucleotides) under uncultured bacterium. RNAcentral's name for it is "partial 16S ribosomal RNA". It matches the Rfam family "Bacterial small subunit ribosomal RNA", at positions 102 to 334 of the family's 1533-position model. The record is from RNAcentral.
ACGGGUGAGUAACACGUAUCCAACCUGCCGUCUACUCUUGGACAGCCUUCUGAAAGGAAGAUUAAUACAAGAUGGCAUCAUGAGUCCGCAUGUUCACAUGAUUAAAGGUAUUCCGGUAGACGAUGGGGAUGCGUUCCAUUAGAUAGUAGGCGGGGUAACGGCCACCUAGUCUACGAUGGAUAGGGGUUCUGAGAGGAAGGUCCCCCACAUUGGAACUGAGACACGGUCCAA